Non-coding RNA from Zostera marina, 120 nucleotides. Lineage: Eukaryota; Viridiplantae; Streptophyta; Magnoliopsida; Alismatales; Zosteraceae. The record is from Rfam.
UGGCGAUGAUGAUAAAUCCAUAGGCUUGUUUCUCAACAUUCGCAGGGCCGCCUAAGGGCUUUCGCCUCGCCGGGCUUGAGAGUCUGUGCUGUUUCGCUCCUUCCUUGGAUGUCUGAGAUU